UACGUAGGGGGCUAGCGUUAUCCGGAAUUACUGGGCGUAAAGGGUGCGUAGGUGGUUUCUUAAGUCAGAGGUGAAAGGCUACGGCUCAACCGUAGUAAGCCUUUGAAACUGGGAAACUUGAGUGCAGGAGAGGAGGGUGGAAUUCCUAGUGUAGCGGUGAAAUGCGUAGAUAUUAGGAGGAACACCAGUUGCGAAGGCGGCUCUCUGGCCUGUAACUGACACUGAGGCUCGAAAGCGUGGGGAGCAAACAGG
Molecule: ribosomal RNA, 252 nt
Filed under: uncultured bacterium
Lineage: Bacteria
Description: partial 16S ribosomal RNA
Rfam family: Bacterial small subunit ribosomal RNA
Source: RNAcentral